Non-coding RNA from Callithrix jacchus (white-tufted-ear marmoset), 45 nucleotides. The record is from Rfam. Lineage: Eukaryota; Metazoa; Chordata; Mammalia; Primates; Cebidae.
CCAAAGGUUCUUUUCAGAACCGUCAAUUUUCUCAACAGGUGGAGG